RNAcentral lists this ribosomal RNA (527 nucleotides) under Sticta stipitata. Its description in RNAcentral is "eukaryotic LSU rRNA". It matches the Rfam family "Eukaryotic large subunit ribosomal RNA", at positions 83 to 624 of the family's 3401-position model. The record is from RNAcentral. Lineage: Eukaryota; Fungi; Ascomycota; Lecanoromycetes; Peltigerales; Lobariaceae.
GUAACGGCGAGUGAAGCGGCAACAGCUCAAAUUUGAAAUCUGGCCCCCUCGGGGUCCGAGUUGUAAUUUGUAGAGGGUGUUUCGGGCGCGAUGCCGGUCUAAGUUCCUUGGAACAGGACGUCGUAGAGGGUGAGAAUCCCGUAUGCGACCGGCGAUCAAGCCUGUGUGAAACCCCUUCGACGAGUCGAGUUGUUUGGGAAUGCAGCUCAAAAUGGGUGGUAAAUUUCAUCUAAAGCUAAAUAUUGGCCAGAGACCGAUAGCGGACAAGUAGAGUGAUCGAAAGAUGAAAAGCACUUUGGAAAGAGAGUCAAACAGUACGUGAAAUUGUUGAAAGGGAAGCGCUUGCAAUCAGACCGGUCCGGAGGUGAUCAGCCGCUGCUCGUCAGCGGUGCACUCGCCUGCGAUCCGGCCAGCAUCGGUUUGGGCGGUGGGAUAAAAGUCCCGGGAAUGUAGCUUCUUUCGGGGAGUCUUAUAGCCCGGCUCGCAAUGCCGCCCGCCUGGACCGAGGACCGCGCUUCGGCUAGGAU